Molecule: ribosomal RNA, 861 nt
Filed under: uncultured bacterium
Lineage: Bacteria
Description: bacterial SSU rRNA
Rfam family: Bacterial small subunit ribosomal RNA
Source: RNAcentral
AGAGUUUGAUCCUGGCUCAGAACGAACGCUGGCGGCAGGCUUAACACAUGCAAGUCGAACGAUCCCUUCGGGGAUAGUGGCAGACGGGUGAGUAACACGUGGGAACGUACCUUUCAGUUCGGAAUAACUCAUGGAAACGUGAGCUAAUACCGGAUACGCCCUUAUGGGGAAAGAUUUAUCGCUGAAAGAUCGGCCCGCGUCUGAUUAGCUUGAUGGUGGGGUAAUGGCCUACCAUGGCGACGAUCAGUAGCUGGUCUGAGAGGAUGAUCAGCCACACUGGGACUGAGACACGGCCCAGACUCCUACGGGAGGCAGCAGUGGGGAAUAUUGGACAAUGGGCGCAAGCCUGAUCCAGCCAUGCCGCGUGAGUGAUGACGGCCCUAGGGUUGUAAAGCUCUUUCGGCGGGGACGAUAAUGACGGUACCCGCAGAAGAAGCCCCGGCUAACUUCGUGCCAGCAGCCGCGGUAAUACGAAGGGGGCAAGCGUUGUUCGGAAUCACUGGGCGUAAAGGGCGCGUAGGCGGACAUUUAAGUCAGGGGUGAAAUCCCGGGGCUCAACCCCGGAACUGCCCUUGAUACUGGGUGUCUUGAGACCGGAAGAGGCAAGUGGAACUGCGAGUGUAGAGGUGAAAUUCGUAGAUAUUCGCAAGAACACCAGUGGCGAAGGCGGCUUGCUGGUCCGGAUCUGACGCUGAGGCGCGAAAGCGUGGGGAGCAAACAGGAUUAGAUACCCUGGUAGUCCACGCCGUAAACGAUGGAUGCCAGCCGUUGGGCAGCUUGCUGCUCAGUGGCGCAGUUAACGCGUUAAGCAUCCCGCCUGGGGAGUACGGUCGCAAGAUUAAAACUCAAAGGAAUUGACGG